Homo sapiens (human) is the source of this 5305-nucleotide long non-coding RNA. RefSeq lists it as uncharacterized. The record is from RefSeq and is a predicted model, not a curated record. The transcript has 2 exons. NCBI's taxonomy places the organism in Eukaryota, Metazoa, Chordata, Mammalia, Primates, Hominidae.
UGAUCAAAUGGGGACUGGGGGGAGGGGGGCGAGUAAGUGACUUGUCCUUGGGAACAUCUGCAUGCGUCGAAGCGCGAACCAGCCCAACAACUUUCCCUUUUCCUCUUAGGUACUGAUGACUAGGCGAGAGGCACCAAGGCGAGCCACUAGUUGCCCACAGGAACCUGUGUAAGCCGAGCUCUCGAGCGGCUGAGUUGAAUGAAGUUAUGACUGCGUUUGCUCUAAUGGGUUAUGGCUUCCCAAAUGUAAUAGAAGGAGAGGCAAAGAAUCACGACACACAAUUUGGAAAGCCUUCUGAAAGCAAGAAUAGGCAAUGAUUGCCAAGAACCUGGUAUUGAGCUCAUAUUUAAAAAGAACUCAAAGAAUCCUCAAUCUACCAAACCUAGUUAUAAAGGAAACAAUCAAAACUUCAAAAAGAAGUAAGCAAGAGAAAGCCUUGGGAAAGUCAUGAUUUAGUUUGCAAUAACCUCUGUGCAUUUCUGAGCCUGACAAGCAAGCAUGAGACAGAAGAUCUGGACAUGACUUAACUCAAUUUCAGAACACCAGACAACCCUAUAAUGAGGCUGAAGCAAGACCACAUGGAAUACUGAGGAAGAACUGAAUGACUCUUUCUAAACCAUCUUACAGAAAAGAGAUGAAUAAGAGGAAGUAUGGGUAGCAAGUAAGAGAGAAGUGACAUUGUUAAUAUGAAAAGUUGACAGGGAGAUUAAGAUGGGUCAAGAGCAUGUCAGGUCAGGACUUGCAAGAUGUACUUAACUAAAUGUAAGUUCAUAUUAGGAAUUGGAUAAAAUGAGAAAUAAAAACUCCAAGGAGUCACAAAACUUAGGAUCAUGGAAAGGCAAGUGAAAAUUAGUAAAAAGAGCCAAUUUUAUAUCAUGAUAGGGCCUACCAAGGUGUGCUUGACAUCUAAUCUGCCUAGAACAUCUGGAAGGAAACUUUCACAGAUGCUAAACUGUGCUUCUUAUAAUUUAAUGUGCACAUGAAUCUCCUGGGCAACUCUUUAGAAAGCAGAUUCUAAGUCUGGGGACAGCAUCAACAGUUGGCAUUUUCAACAGAUUCCCAGGUGAUAUGAAGUUGUGCCACAUUUUGCACAGCAAAAUACUAAAGCUUGCUGCCCCAGCCUAUGGUUUCAUUUGCAUUAUGGCUUCAUUAAUACACUUCAUUAGUAACUGAAGUGAAUGCUAUAUAACAAAAAAUAAUUCAAGGAAAAGACCUGUUCCUUUAACUCUAAUGUUACACAAACCACAGACUCUAAUUUGCUCCUGAACCCAUUAAUUCUAGAAAGUUCUUAAGCACAGUGGACAUCAACCUCUUAUUAUCAGUAACAUUGGCUAUAGUUUGAACAUUUAUCAUUUUGUACCUAUUGGAGUAAAAGAAAAGAGAAUCCAUUUGGAAUAUAUUGGGCACAUUGCACAAUGGAAAAGUCAGGGAAAAUUAUUCUAGUCAUGUAAAGAGGAUUGGUUAGGUCAUAUUCUGAGUCCUGAGCUCAUUCUGGGUUUCUUUCUAUAAAUAGGAUAUUUUGGAACUAGAGAAAGCACAGCAGAAGGCAACCAGAAUGACAGAGGGAUUUGGGGAAUUUGCUUCUGCUGAAAGGUUAAGGAAACUAGGUCUGUUUUCUUUUGUAAGGAGAGAAAAGAUGGUACCUCACUGAGGUGAUAUCAUUCUAAAAGUAGUGGAAGUAAUAGGAUGAGACAAGAGUGCCUUAUGGAAACAAGAGUAGAAGGAUUCUGGCAAGGAAUGAAGGCCAGAAGAAUGGCUCUAGCUUUUCUAAAGGCCCUCAGUUAGCAGUGUUCCUACUGGCAGAACUCCACUACUCGCAAAAGGAGGGGUAAACACUAGAUUGGGAUCAGGAAAUAAGUGAGAGAGAGAAAAUGAGGAGGCAGAGGGGAUCUUAUGUCGUUUUUCAUUGAGAACAUUUUCAAACAGGCAUUUAUUAAUCCUAUAGAAGCCCUGCACUCAAGGCAUAUGGUGAACUUUACCAACAUUCCCCAAGCUCAAGGGUUCUGCUUCUGUAACACAUCACAUCUCUGCUUCCUCUUCAUCCCAAAAUGGCAUUUUGUCCAUCAAUUCAGCAAAGAAAUGUAAAUAGUUAUAAUAUGCAGGGUUUUCCCUCUAAAUUACUUUUUCCUCUUCAUCAAUCCUGGAAAACAUUCUCUUUUUAUUUUAUUUAUUUAUUUUUAGAGACAGGGUCUUGCUGUGUCACCCAGGCUAAAGUUCAGUGGCUCGAUCUUGGCUCACUGCAACCUCUGCUUCCUGAGCUCCAACAAUUCUCCCACCUCAACCUCCCGAGUAGCUGGGAACACAGGUGCAUGCCACUACACCCGGAUCAUUUUUACAUUUUUUGUAGAGACAGGGUUUCGCCGUGUUGCCCAGUCUGGUCUUGAACUCUGGCACUCAAAUGAUCAGCCUGCCUCAGCCUCUCAAACUGCUGGGAUUACAGGCAUGAGCCACUGUGCCAGGGCUGAUUCUCUUUUCAGUUGGUAGAAAAGCACUGUCCAUGACUUCGCAUAUGAGACCUCAACAUCUUCAUUUGAUCCCUGAAUCUCAGAGAUGAAAGGACUUGCCGACCAUCCUGGGCUACCCCAUAAUUUUACAGCAGGGGAAUAUAAAGCUCAUAGAGUUGAUAAUCAUACAGAUUUUACGUGUAUGGUACUGGAGCAUAUAUGCUUUCGGGAAACUGAAAAUUCACCAGUGAGCUAUGUGGAAAAUGUCAAUUAUUCCAUGAGUUAGCUCACUACUCUGGUCCUCUGUCAAAAUUGAUAUUCAGCUCUGUGUCUUUUUACUUGGACAGCCUUUGAGGGGAGUUGCUCUAUGUCCACUGCUUUAGGUAGUUGACCCAAACUUCCCCAAAAUGUAGGAAAGUUGGUUAACUAACUUUAGGUGGGUUAAGCAACUUUUCCAUAGUCACACUGCUUGUAAGUAGUAGAGGAGGAAUUAAAAUUCAGGAUUUUCAGAUCUAAAGUUCAUGCUUUUAAGCACUGGACCAUAUUUACCCCUCUUGCUUUCUUCCUUUCUGAAUACAUACAUUUUUGCUUUUGUUGCAGUUUGCUUGUGUUACAGUAUUGGGACAAGCCAGUCUCACUUAACUAUACUGCUUCCCUCUCUCCCAAUACUUUGACUGCUAUGUAAUAGAAACUUAAUAUAAUUUUCCUAUAUGAAUUAGAAUCAAACUGCUUCUGUUUAUCUCUGGGAAGACUUGUUUUCUAACUUUAUCCAGCACAGCAGCAUAGAUUGCAAUGCAAGGAGAGACUGAAGAACAAUGGUGAUCACCAAUUGCCGUAUGUUCUGGGGAGGCUUAAACCACUUCUGGAGCCUCCUUUUCCCCCACCUCCAUCCUAGAAGGUAGCAGAUGCAUCCUUGAAGAGGCCUCGACAGAACCUAGGCCAAUUCGCUUCUAAGAUGCAGGUUAUUCUUGAAAUCUACAAGCAGCAAAUCGAAGAUGGGGUAUACACUGCAAAUUAGGGGGCACUAAUGCGAUGACUCAAAGUCCCAGAAUGGGCCUGAGUGUGCAGAUCACUGUGGAGAUGUUCCCAAAGUCUUGACAGAUCUAUGUUAAGGCAGAAACAAGGACAUCAUAUUCUCCAAUAUUACUGUGAUUCAGAAUCUAAAUAGUGACCUGAAUGCCAGAAAUGUCAGCCAAGAAAUGGGAAAAGGAAUGGGCAGUCCAGAGAUCUGGGCCUGUUGAGAAGCCUAUGAACCCAGUGACUUGGAAUAAAGACAAUUGGGAGAAGCCUGAAAUUUCAAGAGAAAAAGAGGAAUCUCUGGCCCUAAUGCUGGGCCUUUCUUGGUGUUCCCUGUCUCUGUACUCUAUUUCCUACCUCCUGUAAGACAGGACAUCUCUUGGAAUCAUCUGAUGUGUUGGAAGGGGGCUGGGAGGGAAAGAGCAUUGAUGCUGACUGUGUUACAAGCUGGAUCGUCUGACGCUGGCAAACCAUUUUCUUUCUCUGGGCCUCAGUUUUUCCACUUAUAUAGUGGCCUUAGAUUUGACAUUUGUUGUGGGUUGAAUUGUGUCCUCUCUGAAUUAAUAUAUUGAAGUCUCAACCUCCAGUACCUCAGAAAGUAACCGUAUUGGGAGCUGGGUCUUUAAAGAGGUGAUUAACUUAAAAUGAGGCAUUAGGGUGGGGCUCCAAUCCAAUAUACCUAAUUUUUUUAUAAGAAGAGAGAAACUGGCCAGGCACAGUGGCUCACGCCUGUAAUCCCAGCACUUUGGGAUGCCGAGGCGGGCGGAUCACCUGAGGUCGGGAGUUCGAGACCAGCCUGACCAACAUGGAGAAACUCCAUCUCUACUAAAAAUACAAAAUUAGCUGGGCGUGGUGGCACAUGCCUGUAAUCCCAGCUACUUGGGAGGCUGAGGCAGGAGAAUUGCUUGAGGUUGCGGUGAGCCGAGAUUGUGCCAUUGUACUCCAGCCUGGGCAACGAGAGUAAAACUCUGUCUCAAAAAAAAAAAAGUAGAAGAAGAGAGAGACACCAGGGAUGCACACGCACAGAGGAAAGACCAUGUGAGGACACAGCAAGAGGACAUCCAUCUGCAAGCCAAGAAGAGAGGCCUCAGAAAAAAUCAACCUGGUUGGCACCUUGAUCUUGGACUUCCAGUCUCCAGAACUGUGAGAAAGUGAGUUUCUGUUAUUGACAUCAAGUGUGUGGCUUUUUGUUUUGGCAGCUACAGCAAACAAAUACAGAUUUCAAAUGGCCCAAUUAUCUGCCUUCCAAUUUCUGUGAAACUUCCUUCAACAAGUUUAGUAUUGGGAGGGAUUGCAGUUGACUGCAAAUUCUUUGAUAGUUCUUUCAUCAAGAAAUGGGGUUGUAUCUGCUCCUCCCCUGCUUUCGGGUGGGCUCAGUGACUGCUUUGACCAAUAGAAUAAGGCAAAAGUUACACUUCUAGUUUCCUGGUUCCAAGCCUUAGGAGACUCUUCACUUACUCUUCCUGUGUCAUGGAAUGCCUGCUCUUGGAGCCCUGGACCACCAUGUAAAAAGUCCAACUACCCUGCUGGAGAUGCAAUGUGAAGCAGUGAUGAGAUUACAUGGAGAGAGUGAAAGGCCCAACUGAGCCCAGCCUUCCACUUUGCCCUGCUGAGAUGCUGGGCAUGUGAGUACAACUCACUUGGACACUCCAGACCAGACCAGCCACCAGCUGAAGGUCACUAAGUGACUCCAGUCAGUGCCAUGUGAAAUGAAAGAAUUGCCUAGCCAAGACCUGCCAGAAUUCUUAUUCAUCAGCUAUAAUAUGGUUGUUGAGUAAGCCACUAAGUUUUGUUACAGUGCUUGUUAACGUGUUACAAUGAUGUAAUAAAAGUUUCUGAACUGA